This is a long non-coding RNA of Passer domesticus (house sparrow), 10150 nucleotides long. RefSeq lists it as uncharacterized. The record is from RefSeq and is a predicted model, not a curated record. The transcript has 2 exons. Lineage: Eukaryota; Metazoa; Chordata; Aves; Passeriformes; Passeridae.
AGCAGAGCUGGGGUGCCCCAGGAACAUGCUCACUCCUAACAGAGGUUUCAGCUUCUUAGGAAUACAUGCAGCUGGUGCAAAUUCAUACUGCAGUUUAUCCACCCACCUAAGACAGAACAGCGCAAUGGGGUGUUCCUGUGUCCUGCCCUGCAUCCAAACUGGAUAAAAGCCAGGCUCUGGCUUGCACCUAGCUAAGAGACUGUAGUUACAACUCCAGCAGUGCCAGGAUGACUCACGGGGCUUUGCACUCUGCCAGAUGACUUUGAAGGGAACAGAGAGUUGCAUAUGGAAAGCACAAGCAGAUGCAGCACAGCAUCUCCCAGACACUCGUCAAGCACUCAAUGCUUAUGGCAUCUACUGCAAAGCUAACCAGAACUGACCCCUUGGUCUGCGAUCAGCAACCAACUUCAGAAAAAAUCAACAGAAUUACUUUCAGAAAUAACAUUCAGUGCACUGCAUGGUCUGCUCACUGCACAAUUUAGAGUUGCCUUUUUUUUUUUUUCAUUCAGGCAUCAAAAGCCAAUGGCUCUUUUAAAGUUAACAAACAUGGAACUCUUCUGGGCAUAAAUGGAUUUGGACUAGGACCUUGGGCAAUACAGUCUCUCAUAAUUACCUGUUCUUCACACACUUUCAAGCAGCAGAAAAUCCAAAUGAUAUUUCUAUUGGUGCAUUUUUUUCAAACAGCACUCUUAUGUUCCCAUCUCCUGAACCAGCUGCUAUCACACUGGUGGGCAUGUGUCAUCUUUACUGGAAAGCUGCCCAGCCUGGAAGGAUGAUUUUAGCAGGGAGGUAUCCAGCUUAUCUCAGGUGUGGGGAGAGGUGUGUUCACAGUCAUUCCUGUCUCCUUACUCCCAUGUUUGAAAACAAAAAGAGCGUACAAGCACAGCUGAGUCUGACAAUCCAGAUAAGAGAUUUUAUUUAUAUUUAUUUUUCCAAGGUCAGAAUCUGAGAGUUAAGAAAAAUUAAGUACAUCAACUUGCAUUUCUCAAAAAAAAAAAUCAAAAAACAACCCAGAGUUAUCAAAAUCUCUCUUACAGUCCUGCCUGAAUGAAAAGUGGGCAGUAGCCAUGUACAGCAAAAAUAUCAUGCUGGCCUGCAGAGAAAUUCAGAGGCAAUGCAAACAGCAUAAACAGCAUCCAGAAUGAUGAAAAGUAAUUUCUCAGAGUAGUACAGCUCACAUUCGUUUCCAUUUUGUCCAUUCAUGACCCCACCUUCUCUACUUCCAGGAAGGCACACUGUUUACUGAACAGGAAUUUUGCCAGGAUGCCCUUUACAUCUGGGAGAACCACACGGUGCUCAGCCUACAUAGCUGUUUUAGUAUCGAGAGCUGCUACUGUUAGCUUGCCUUGUAACUGAUAAGAAAUGACUUUGCUUCUUCUAUUCCUAAAACAAAAAACCCCAAGCAGGCUUAACAGAAAACAAAAGACUUUAAAUAGAGCUAGUGUGCAGUAUUACCAUGAAAAAUAAACCAAACAAAACACUUGAAAGUAAAAUGCUUUCACUGCAUUUGUUUCAGAGAACCUUGAAAGUAACCGACUUCUCCACAUAUGGAUCUGUUUAAGGUUUGCUACUCUGUAUUAUCAAACAAAUCACUGCUUUGUUUUGAUGAUGUCCCUUUCACUUCAGAAACUUGGUUCUUUUUUUAAAAAAAAACAAGUUGUGGUAUGUUUGCUCUGGUAUAACUAAGUACACCACCUGGAAUUCUGCCUUAUUAAAAAAAAAGGAAGAAGCAAAUCACACUCAAAAUACACAACACCCAGGUUGCUACUGCUACUCUUCAUACUACUCCAGCUAUCCAAGACUCUGUGGAAGAAGGGGAAGGUGGAGCUAGGCACUGCCUGGCUGUAUAAAACUUGUAUGGGUAUCAUACAAAAUUUCUACUCCAGACAAGAAACAUUUUUUCAGCCACGGACUGUGCUUCAAAGAGUUUAUCAUGUGAAGACCACCCUCUCAGAUUAAUGUUUAAUCAUGCUUGUAGAAUUUUAGGUUCUACAGUAUUUCCAACCUUUUGCAUAAGAAUAUAUAUCACAUGAGUAAUGCUUAAUAUGCAGUAGGCUGUGCUGUGUAACUUAGAUCACUUAGAUUUGCUUCCAUGUGAAUACAGAUUUAGAGUAUUCAGUGCAAGUUGAUUUUAGUCUCUCAAGACCUCUUUUUGCCUUAGCUUUAUAGAAAUCAAACCAAAACUCAUUAUUUUUCUUCUAAGUCCAAAGCUCUGAACAGAAGACCAUAUAUUUGCAUAAGGAUGUUGGUUCUUUGGGCCCUCAGGGCGCAGAGGGAGAUGUUGCUAAAUCUGUAAUGUCCAACUAGAGCAUUUGCCAUUGAUAUUAAUGAAGUAGAUACAGCUAUGCCCUAGGUAUCUAUGAACAAGUUAGGACAGGCAUUGAUGGGCAAUGACAACACAGAGCUCUGUGUCACAGAACCAUCCCUGCACCACUCACUCAUCCCUCGGAUCCUCCAGCCUGGAUGAAGUCUCUGAUGUGAGGAUACCAGGGAGAAGGACAAACACCAGCUAAGAAAGGAGAGCACCCAAGUUUCAUUUGUCCAAUGAAAUCUGACCAGCAGAUGCUCUACUGAUUCACUCUAACAUUUUGGUGACUUCUAUGUCUAGGCUUCAGAGUGAAGUGAUAACCUGAGUUCAAACCUAAACCACCUCACUGCAGCUUCAAGCUCAACAAACUAAGCCAGCAUUGAUUGAGAAGCCUUGGCUUUCUGCAGCACCUGUACUGCUAAGUUAGUCAGUAGUACCUGUGCCCAGGCCUGAGUGCUGGGCACAGCCACCUUUGCUCAAGCUAUGUUAAACAAGCUCCCAAAAGACAGGCUGGCUUUGCAAUGAAUGAGAGCCUUAAUUUUCAUACUGAUUUCCAGCCCUGCCACUGAAGCUACAUGAAGGGUUUCUGGCAAGGGAGGAACUCACCUCCAAGACAAUUCGUUGUGAAUCCCUGAGGCUGGCCUUUAGCUUUGCCGUCUGUUCUCUGACUUUGCUGGCUACCUUCCCAGCUCCUGCACCCUUCUGCAUGCCUCAGAGAGGAACUACUCAACUUUAUAGCAGCAUUAACUCAUCAGCUGGAAACCUGCCAGGCUCCUUACAUUUUCACUACAAUCGUCUGAGCUCUGAUUCCAGAGGGUGCCUCGAGACAGGAUCCAUGGUCACAGACAGCACUACACAACUGCUUUCUGAUGUGCUUGAUCCAUUUGGGGUGCUGGGCAAGAUGCAUUAGUGCUUGCAUAGCUACUGCAAACUGCCUCUGUGUAAGCACAAAAAUGCCCCUUGUUUUUGUUUAGCUCAGUGUUAGAGAUACUCAUGUGCCUGUGGAACAAACACGGAGCACCCCAGCACAGAGCUUAUGAAGUAUCAGCAGUCAAGAUCUCCUGCAGAUCUACUGUGCUAUUUGCUUCUCACAAAGGUGACACACUUCUGGAGAGCUGAGGAGAUGUGCCUAGUUUAUUUCUAGUUAGCAGAAGGUGACAACUUUGUGCAAUUAAAGUAGGAUUAGGUAACAAUUAAAACAAAGCCAAAACUGGGUGGAAGAGGGACAGAGGGGAAUAAUAAAUCAGCAGAAAAAUCACAGGACAUUUGCUUUUUUUGACUGACAACAGCACAAAAUCUGUGCACUUGAAGUGACUUUUUAAAUAAUUGUUGCUGCUGCUUGGAAUCAUAGCACCUGUAUAUCUUCCAGGAUGAUUAUACUACAAAACCCUGACUAAAUUACAGUUUUUAAAUGAAGUGAAAAUCACUUCCCCACAAGCUGUCCUUUAGCAUUAUAAUUUAAAUCCAGUAUAAAUGCUAGUUUGGUCAAACUGGUCUUUAAGAGGUCACUUAGUCUAUUUCCUGCUUGAAGUAGAAACAACUGUAUCUAAACUGCUCCUGUCAGUCCUUUGUUAAAAACCUCGGCCAAUGCAGACCCACCACCUUCUGCACACUGUCUUUAUGUCCAGGUACAUCGAUAUUAGGUGUUCAUUACGGCAAUUGAAGUUGCUUUGCAUAACUACCAACCCUGGACUAGCAACAGUUGCCUUAUUUCCUUUGCAGAAACUUUCUUCUAUACCUGAAGAUCUCAUCCUUUCUCUCCUUCUUCCUUCAAAGCACAUGAUCCUCAAAGAGGCUACACCUAUUGUGAAGAACUGCUCCUUAUCCAGUCUUUUUUUCCCCACAGAUCUGUGCAGCUGAUUAUGCCUACUAAAGUGCUGUAUGUUGCAGUGCUCAUUAUUAAAUUACACAAUAUUUUUAAGGUCACUUCCUACAUUUGCCCCCAUCACUUAGCAUUCUAGUCCUGUCCUCCAAUGUGCUACAACCCUUUCAUCCCCACGGUUAACUCAAAAGGCAGUAUUUAUGUGCUCUAGGCCAGUAUACUCAUCAGUAAGGAAAACAUCAAUUACUAGGGACUGUGAGAUGGUCCUCUACAGAUUCUUCCAACCUCAAAGUGACUCACUGCUAACUACAGGUCACUUUGGUGUUUAACCAAAAAAAUCUUACCCCUCCUUUGUUUCUCGAAGUGAUGCUUACAAUGGUAGUUUAAUCAUUGUCAACUAAACUUGUAUCUGAGUUUCUAAAAGGUUUGGUCAGUCUCUUUCACACUAAGUGCUAUAGAAUAAAUAGCUGCUCCAGCCACAGUUCUGAACUAGGUAACAGUAUAGUGCACUCUCUGCAGAGGGAAAAUUAAUCCAAAUUAAUGCAAGCAGGCUAGGACUCAUUUAUCACCAGCAGUUACUGGCUCAAAGUGAGGCAUCAAUGUAAAGGAACAGCACAGCUCCUGGAUAGUUUAAUGGUACACAUGCCCCUGUCUGAGAUGGCAGCUGGAUAUUCCUGCUCCUGCCUACCCAGCCCUGAAUUCAGAAAAUAUGCUCAAGGUAUUUUUCAUUAUCUGUGUAUUACCUAUCUCAAAAUGUUCCCCCAUCUACGCAAACCCAAGUUACACCAGCUCCAGGAAACCUCCACACAUCAGUUUUAUAGGAAUUAGGGAAUUUUACAUGAAGGGUUUGAUGCUGUUUAGUUGAUUCUCUUGUACUUGCACGUUGUUAAAUUGAAUUUGAAGUAGGUCUCCCAAGUCUGUAAUAGGAAAGAAACUGAUACACAGAGACAAGUCAGUGUGAGGGGGGAGCAUUCAGUGCUAGGACCUUGCCACACAUACUAUUGAUCACAAACCAAGUAGGACAAGCUGGCAGGGGUGAGCAAUGUGCAAUUUGAGUGUAAAAAGAAAGAACUAUACAUAUACAUGGCAUAUUUUAACCAGUUUUAUCACAGAGCCUGAAGGGCCUUUGUACAGUUAUACAAAUCCAAAAAGCAGAUUUGUCCUUAACUCCAAGACCCAUUACUUGGCAUUUUUCACAAUUUUUUGCACAAUACCUAAAGAAUUGUUUAAAAAACUGGUCAGGCUUUUCUAUUGUUGCCAGAUAAAAUUCAAGACAUAAUGAGCAUCAAUUCUUUAACACCAGUAGCUGAAUAAAAAGUGUUUGAACUAUUUCUGCAACUUUAUAGUAGAUAGACAAACAUUAAUUUUAUUUUUCUUUUCAUUCUGAUAGUAGUGCUAUUAAAAACUAGCAAAGUAUCUAUAUAAUCUUUGGAUUAACACACAGAUUUCAGAGCAGGUAGGACAGUACUGUGAACACUGCUCACGCAAGUGUCAAACCUGCAAAUCUGCAGGCAUGAAAACUUACUCCCAUGAGUAGAUAUGUUGAUUUGUGCUGCAUAACCCUCUCUUAAUUAUGCCACUGAGAAUACUUGCAUGAAAAAUUCACUGUGUGGGGUCUGAUAAAAACCCUUGGUUUAUAGCUUGCAGGAGGUCAGUACUAAAAAGGGGAAAAAAACCCCAAAACUUGAGGCAUUUUGAGUUAGUGGAUCUGUCAUCUAGUCUCAACUGAAAAAAAAGUAAUUUAAAUAUUCUCACAAUUCAAAACGUUCAGGAGUUACACAGUCUUUCACUAGUGCAUUUUUUAAAUGAAAGUAUAUUAAAUAGCAGUGCAGUCUGGCUCUACUUAACACUUAAAUAUUUUACUGAAAUGCCUUUCUAAAUUUGCAUCAUCCCUCUUCCUUAAGCAGUUUCACUCACUACCAGCAAAUAAGGUAAAAGCCACACUGUAACAUAAAGGUUGCUUCUCCAGCUGGACAGAAAUACAAAAAUACCAGACUUCUGAUUGCUAUGCUAAAUUACACCAUUCUUUCCUACUCUGACUAUAGUCUUCUGGCUAGAAAAAAGGAAGGAAAAAGGGGAAGGGAAGAAAAUGCUUAGGAGAAAUAAUUCUAGAUAAAUCAGAUAUGGGCAAUACUAAAAAGUAGAAUUUCAAUAUUUAUUUGAGAGUUGCUUCAAAUAUGUUUGUAGAAGAGCAAUGAACCCUCUUCACUAUUUUUUUAACUGUAAACUUCUGUAUGGGGAAGGAAGUGUUAGAAAUAAUCUUGUGGGUUGUAUUCUCGAAACCAUUCUGCAAACUUCAGCUUUCUUUUCAUGUAGAAUGCAUUUAUUGCACUCAGUGGUGACAGUGCUGGGUAGGGAGAGACAAUAAAAAGCAUAAUGUGUCACAAGAUACAUUAUCAAGUAGAGUUUGGGUAAUUUUUUUUUUUAAUUUUGCUCGUUCAGCUUUAGUACAAGCAUUUGGAGACAUACUCUUCAACAUAACUAUGUCUUACACACCUUAAUCAACUGCUCUUCUAUAGGGAACCAUUUAGUGCUCACAACUGGGUUUUCACUGCAAAGGUGGAAACCAGAAAAAUGGACAGAUUUUUUUUUUUCACUGGGAUUUAAUAUUUAGUACUAUGAAGACAUUUGCCCAACAAGACAUUAACAGAAUAAACACAAAACUGCGGGACUUACACCAAUCUGAAAAGUCAACACCUUGAGUGGAAGAAAAAAACGUACAUGUGAAGAGGGGCACACACUUGUGCUACUGUAUAAAGACCUGCUAUUUGACUGCAUGCAAUAUACUCUUUCUCCUCCUGAUUUCAUAAAAGCAACAGAAUGCCUGGUUUUGACAAAGGGGAGAUGGAAACUUACUAUAUUUGAGAGACAAAGGAAUGGAUUGGCUUAUUCAUAUCCUGGUGUGUGUGGCAAAAAGCUUUGUGUGAACAAUGCCUACUCUGAGAGGAGAGAGGAAAAACCCAACAGAGUUCAUAUGAAUCACCUAUUUAAACCAUUUAAGCAAACUUGGAUGAUUUUUUUUUUCUUUUCCCUCCCUGGGGAGCAUUACAGAGUAAUCACAUGAAUCUGCUUCACUUUCUGACUGAAGUAGUCACCUCCGUGGCAGAACUGGAGCAAACCACAGCUGUGCAGUAACAUCUUCAACAGGCACAACUGUUUGCAGAGUAAACAUUUGCCUAUAACCUUACUGCAGACAGAGUAUGUUAACAAAAGGAAUGCUUCUACGAGCUUAGCUGCAGCACUUUCCUCACAAACACAAGGCUUCAUUAGCUCAAAUUCUGCGCUACCUCUGCACGUGGACGAGCCUGCACCACCAGCACAAUUUUUCAUUGCUCCUCAUUGUUUCAGACAGCUCAACUGAAAGAGCUUAAAUUGCUGGUCUGAGGAAUACCUUCACAAUAUUGCUUUAAACACAUACUGCAGUGCUCCCACACUGAUGGAAUAACAAGCACAGUCCGACAGUUACAAACAUCUGGAUUCAUGGGUCCAUAACCAAAGCAGUAAUAGUGUUCGCCUGCCAGGGUUUUGCAGGCAUUCUUCCUUGUGUCAGACUCCAGACCCUGGCGUUGGCAACACUCUGCAGGGUGAAAUUAGCCCAAGAUGUGGCAGUAAUGAAAGGGACAAAUGCAGUUCUUAGGAAGCAGAAAAAUCCUGUAUUAAACCAAACCACUCACACAUCUUCAUUCCAUUUGUUCUUAGUCCACAUACUUUGGGAGUGUUAUUUUAAAAUACAUAAUUUCAAAAUUAACUACUCAUAAACCAUCAACCUAUUUGCAAGUCUAGGAGAGGCUACAAACAGCAAAAUCAUCAACUGCCACCUUUUGUAGUACUUCUCAAGAAAUCACAUUAGUAUGUAUUAGCAUACAAGGCCUGAAAAAGAAAUAAGAAUCAAUAGUGUAAUCCCUGUUAAGGAAAAUCUUUCCAAGAGACCUAUAAGGUCAGGCACUCACUGGCUAGAGGAUGAGACAGAGCAGUGAGCCUUUGGGGUGAUCCAAGCAGCUCUCCUUCAGCAGUAAGUCCCAUUUCCCAGCAGCUACAAAGAAAGCAAGUUGCUUCUCUGACCAGUGCUCCAAGGCAUGUGUUUUGCCUGGCCUUUCCACUUUACUUUUUUCUUUUUAACCAUCUGUUUUCAAAUAUCUGAUUUUCACUUUAGUAAAGAGAAAAGAUUAAAGCAAAUUUACAGCACAGGGUAUAAAAGACUACAUUCUCCUGCUUGCCUGGGAAAGAUGCACUAUUUCAACUCACCACUUUUUAAACCACAUGAAUUAAGCUCUGAGUGGAUACACUGAAUUUGGUGUUUGCAUUCAUUUCCUGCAAAGUUUACACUAAAGUGGAUUUGCUGUAAAUGGGCUGUAAACUAUAAACUAAGCUGACAUGAGUGUUAUUAAAUAGAACUUCAGAAACUUUUCCACAAAGAAGAACAAUAUUUAAUUUAGGAAUGGAAAUGUGGAAGAGUGAGCAAAGGAAACUGGGAAUACACAUUUUUGUUAUUGUAGAUCAGCAGGGCAGCCAGGAACAGCUGAAGGAAGCUGCUAUCAAUCACAGCACCCCUGGGAACAGCCCCACUUGUACCAUCCCUAAAAUCCAGGAAAUACAAUGAGAGCUGGAGACAGCAGUGCCCUGCUCCAGCUGAGCUGCAGGUCUCAACAGCAGCCUCAGACAAAACCUUAACUGCAGAGCAGUGACCUCUGAUCUAAACAGUUUUAUGCUAUGAGCUGAAAAUAGUUAUUCCAGAUAUGCCAAACUUAUUUAAGAGCAUCUCUGCAGCCCAGAUUUACCAUGCACUACGUACAAAAUCUUUGCAGCAUUUACCUGAGAGUUUGUAACAGUGGGGUUUGGCACACUUCCACACCUUGAAGUAUAUAUAAGUGCUUGGCCAUGGUUUGAAACUGAGCUGCCUAGGAGCAAUAGGGCCAAGAUCUUUUUAGCUUUGCUUUAUGCUAUUAAAAGCACAAAAGAAAUUAAAUACAGCACACUGCAUCAAGUAGCACAGCUUUGAGUUAAGAUGGCAAAAGCAAGAAAAAAUGGAAUCAGAUACCUGUCCUCAGUUUACCUGUGUGUCCUAGAGCUAUGGCGUAUGUUGGACAGUAAAUGACUUGGACUUUUCUGUAGAACAGGAGAAAACAUGAGUGGAAAGCAGCACUUAAUUUUUCUCCAUCUUUAGUGGCCUAAGACUGAACUGAAUUUUAUUGGCUUUGAUGCUUUCUCUUUCUUGAAAAUCACAGGAAUUUAGUACUACUGCAUGUUAAGGAGUAAAGCUAUCAGCAUGUAGAUAUUAAGUUUUAUAGCUGGUACCCCCGAGAUGCAGCUCGUAUUCACUGCUCACAAAUGUGACAGCAUGAUACAUGACAACAUGAUUUUUUCAACAGUUCAUUGUCCAAUUAACAGAAUCAGAAAUCAAUCCUUACUGUUGAGACAGGCAAGCAAAAAACUACUGUUUAGUCAGUUUUACCGUGCCUGUCAUUCUGCUAUCCCAGUGCCUAAAACAGAAGUCAGUGUGCAGCCCAGGCCUGCUCACCACACCCAGGAACGGGGCUUUCUUGGGUGCUGGCAUUUUUAUAAAGCAGAUGUUACAGCAAUGGAUGUUACUGCAGGAAAAACAACUGCUGGGGAAAUCUACACCUCUUUUGCAUGAGAAUCACAGCGCAGCCAGUCGGUGUCAUUCUAAAGUAGCUAAAUCAGCCUCGGGUCACUCCCACGGGGUGACUCUGGGCAGUUGCACUAGCAGGUGAGAAGUGGCAGCAGAUAUCAGUGUUUAACAUGAUAUGAGAGAGCUCAACAUAUUUGUACUUCAGUAUUUGUACUGCAUCCUGUUAAAGUAACAUUUAACAUUUUAUAUGUGCCACUACUGCAUUUUAAAAAUUGCUAAUUUUUCAUUACUUAUGUAACUGAGUAAGCAGAAGGACUAUCAGCAUCCAAGAGCAUUAGUUGCCAAUUGUAUUCUUGUGAAGUUUGCAAUAUGUGGACUGCAAAUAAGAUUGUGCUCUAGAACUGGAAAAGAAACAACUGUACAUGGAAAA